Molecule: small nucleolar RNA, 129 nt
Organism: Arvicanthis niloticus (Nile rat)
Lineage: Eukaryota; Metazoa; Chordata; Mammalia; Rodentia; Muridae
Product: small nucleolar RNA SNORA17
Source: RefSeq, a predicted model, not a curated record
AAUACCCCUAGAGGUGUUGCAGGUAUGGCUGCUGUGUCACAUGUUCGUCAGUAGGUGGCAGAAAGGAGAGGCUAUGUCUAUGCUUAGUGUUCUGAUCUAGGAACAUCUGAAUAUUAGUAACCUGAAAAG